GAUGAACGCUGGCGGCAUGCCUAACACAUGCCAGUCGGACGGGAAAAACGGGAAACGGUGUUUCCAGCGGCGGACGGGCGGGUAACGGGUAAGAACCUGCCCUUGGGAGGGGAACAGCAGCUGGACACGGCUGCUAAUACCCCGUAGGCUGAGGACCAAAAGGAGGAAUCCGCCCGAGGAGGGGCUCGCGUCUGAUUAGCUAGUUGGUGAGGCAAUAGCUUACCAAGGCGAUGAUCAGUAGCUGGUCCGAGAGGAUGAUCAGCCACACUGGGACUGAGACACGGACCAGACAACUACGGGCAGCAGGAGUGAGGAAUUUUCCGCAAUGGGCGAAGGCCUGACGGGGCCAUGGCGCGUGGAAGUAGAAGGCCCGCGGGGCGUGGACUUCUUGUCCCGGCGAAGAAGCAAUGACGGUACCUGCGGAAUAAGCAUCGGCUAACUCUGUG
RNAcentral lists this ribosomal RNA (446 nucleotides) under uncultured bacterium. Its description in RNAcentral is "partial 16S ribosomal RNA". It matches the Rfam family "Bacterial small subunit ribosomal RNA", at positions 28 to 507 of the family's 1533-position model. The record is from RNAcentral.